UCGUAGGGCUUCUGCCCUGUCGAGAUAGCGUCCUUGCCUAUUUUUUGGAGUACCUUUUCGUUUCCUCAGCAGGCUUGCCUGCUACUGGGGACCCUUUAAACUCUUUGUAAAUACAGCAUCUGUCUGAAUAAACAAACAAAAAAUCA
RNAcentral lists this unclassified non-coding RNA (146 nucleotides) under uncultured Lophiostoma. Its description in RNAcentral is "sequence contains ITS1". Lineage: Eukaryota; Fungi; Ascomycota; Dothideomycetes; Pleosporales; Lophiostomataceae. The record is from RNAcentral.